GCCAGACUCCUACGGGAGGCAGCAGUGAGGAAUAUUGGUCAAUGGGCUUACGCCUGAACCAGCCAAGUCGCGUGAGGGAAGACUGCCCUAUGGGUUGUAAACCUCUUUUGUCAGGGAGCAACGCCGGCUACGUGUAGCCGGACUGAGAGUACCUGAAGAAAAAGCAUCGGCUAACUCCGUGCCAGCAGCCGCGGUAAUACGUAGGUGGCAGGCGUUGUCCGGAUUUACUGGGUGUAAAGGGCGUGCAGCCGGGCUGACAAGUCAGAUGUGAAAUCCCGCGGCUCAACCGCGGAACUGCAUUUGAAACUGUCAGUCUUGAGUACCGGAGAGGUCAUCGGAAUUCCUUGUGUAGCGGUGAAAUGCGUAGAUAUAAGGAAGAACACCAGUGGCGAAGGCGGAUGACUGGACGGCAACUGACGGUGAGGCGCGAAAGCGUGGGGAGCAAACAGGAUUAGAUACCCCAGUAA
Molecule: ribosomal RNA, 467 nt
Filed under: uncultured bacterium
Lineage: Bacteria
Description: bacterial SSU rRNA
Rfam family: Bacterial small subunit ribosomal RNA
Source: RNAcentral